Molecule: non-coding RNA, 120 nt
Organism: Lupinus albus (white lupine)
Lineage: Eukaryota; Viridiplantae; Streptophyta; Magnoliopsida; Fabales; Fabaceae
Source: the annotation of a GenBank genome assembly
UACGUUUUAGAUUGAGUAAUAGCUAUAGUGCGUAAGUAACGCAAAGCUGGAAUAGCUCAGUUGGUUAGAGCGUGUGGCUGUUAACCACAAGGUCGGAGGUUCAAGCCCUCCUUCUAGCGA